GACGAACGCUGGCGGCGUGCCUAAUACAUGCAAGUUGAGCGCUGAAGGUUGGUACUUGUACCAACUGGAUGAGCAGCGAACGGGUGAGUAACGCGUGGGGAAUCUGCCUUUGAGCGGGGGACAACAUUUGGAAACGAAUGCUAAUACCGCAUAAAAACUUUAAACACAAGUUUUAAGUUUGAAAGAUGCAAUUGCAUCACUCAAAGAUGAUCCCGCGUUGUAUUAGCUAGUUGGUGAGGUAAAGGCUCACCAAGGCGAUGAUACAUAGCCGACCUGAGAGGGUGAUCGGCCACAAUGGGACUGAGACACGGCCCAAACUCCUACGGGAGGCAGCAGUAGGGAAUCUUCGGCAAUGGGCGAAAGUCUGACCGAGCAACGCCGCGGGAGUGAAGAAGGGUUUCGGAUCGUAAAACUCUGUUGGUAGAGAAGAACGUUGGUGAGAGUGGAAAGCUCAUCAAGUGACGGUAACUACCCAGAAAGGGACGGCUAACUACGUG
This 497-nucleotide ribosomal RNA is filed under the name uncultured bacterium. RNAcentral's name for it is "partial 16S ribosomal RNA". It matches the Rfam family "Bacterial small subunit ribosomal RNA", at positions 28 to 507 of the family's 1533-position model. The record is from RNAcentral.